This 350-nucleotide long non-coding RNA is filed under the name Canis lupus familiaris (dog). RNAcentral's name for it is "lncRNA (ENSCAFG00000033001.3, ENSCAFG00845003628.1)". The record is from RNAcentral. Lineage: Eukaryota; Metazoa; Chordata; Mammalia; Carnivora; Canidae.
UAUGGUUUGAUUUGGUUUUGGUGUCCUAUUUCUUCAUAAAUUUUGGUAAAUUUUUAAAAUUUCAUAUUAAAGCAAAAUGCAUAGACUAAUAUGGCAAAUACAAUUUUUCUUCUUUCUUAUCUCUUUUUUCUUCAGGUUAAAGGUGUGACAGAUUCAAAAUUCUACAUUCCAAGAAUAACCCCCAGUGCCCGUCAACUUCUUUUGAGAACCAAUCAACCUGGCAACUUGUGGAAGUGAGGUAAAAUAGCUGACCCCACACACAUACAAGAAGUAAAUGCUAAUCAUCAAAAGUCACUGAGUGUUGUCCAGCAGACCAGUACAGAUGUCUGGUCAUUUGGCCUCAAACCAUC